UGCAGUCGAACGAACCUUCGGGUUAGUGGCGGACGGGUGAGUAACGCGUGAGAAUCUGCCCUCAGGAGGGGGAUAACGGUUGGAAACGACCGCUAAUACCCCAUAUGCCGCGAGGUGAAAUGAAUUUCGCCUGAGGAUGAGCUCGCGUCUGAUUAGCUAGUUGGUGGGGUAAAGGCCUACCAAGGCAUCGAUCAGUAGCUGGUCUGAGAGGAUGAUCAGCCACACAGGGACUGAGACACGGCCCAGACUCCUACGGGAGGCAGCAGUGGGGAAUUUUCCGCAAUGGGCGAAAGCCUGACGGAGCAACGCCGCGUGAGGGAUGAAGGCCUCUGGGCUGUAAACCUCUUUUAUCAAGGAAGAAGAUCUGACGGUACUUGAUGAAUAAGCCACGGCUAAUUCCGUGCCAGCAGCCGCGGUAAUACGGGAGUGGCAAGCGUUAUCCGGAAUUAUUGGGCGUAAAGCGUCCGCAGGCGGCCCUUCAAGUCUGCUGUUAAAAAGUGGAGCUUAACUCCAUCAUGGCAGUGGAAACUGUUGGGCUUGAGUGUGGUAGGGGCAGAGGGAAUUCCCGGUGUAGCGGUGAAAUGCGUAGAUAUCGGGAAGAACACCAGUGGCGAAGGCGCUCUGCUGGGCCAUCACUGACGCUCAUGGACGAAAGCCAGGGGAGCGAAAGGGAUUAGAUACCCCUGUAGUCCUGGCCGUAAACGAUGAACACUAGGUGUCGGGGGAAUCGACCCCCUCGGUGUCGUAGCCAACGCGUUAAGUGUUCCGCCUGGGGAGUACGCACGCAAGUGUGAAACUCAAAGGAAUUUGACGGGGGCCCGCACAAGCGGUGGAGUAUAUGGGGUUUAAUUCGAUGCAACGCGAAGAACCUUACCAGGGUUUGACAUCCUGCGAAUCUCUUGGAAACGAGAGAGUGCCUUCGGGAACGCAGUGACAGGUGGUGCAUGGCUGUCGUC
This 956-nucleotide ribosomal RNA is filed under the name uncultured marine bacterium. Its description in RNAcentral is "bacterial SSU rRNA". It matches the Rfam family "Bacterial small subunit ribosomal RNA", at positions 56 to 1056 of the family's 1533-position model. The record is from RNAcentral.